This is a long non-coding RNA of Dreissena polymorpha, 1134 nucleotides long. RefSeq lists it as uncharacterized. The record is from RefSeq and is a predicted model, not a curated record. Lineage: Eukaryota; Metazoa; Mollusca; Bivalvia; Myida; Dreissenidae. The transcript is spliced from 6 exons.
UUUAGGCUUAGUACUAGCACUUAGCAAGUUUCAUUAAUAUUCCUGCAUUGGUUUGUUUACGAGAAGAGGCGUGGACAAGGGAAACAUUUCUUUACUUUAUGCUUUUGUUUGCUCUUGUUUGAAGUACAAUAAAUCCAUGUUUUAACCUUCUAACCUUGACCCAAAUAAAAAUCCUCACAGUAUGCAGAACCAAGCUAGCUAUUAAUAAAUCUGACCAAGUAACAUUAAAAUCCUUCAUUGAUUUAUGCAAAGAAGCACUGGCAAGGUAAUUAUGUUUUUAACCUUGUGAACUUGACUUAAUUGACAAAUCUGCCAAUAUGCAAACCAAGGCUUGGUAAUGAACACUCCUUCUAAGUUUCUUUUUAAUCCUUUAAGUGUUUUAUGAGAAUAAGUGCUGACAAGAUGCAAGGAACAUCUAACCAGACAUCCUGACAUCACUCUGGACAGCGCAAAAAAUAUGUCUCCAUUACCAGCUAGGGAAUUUCAUUCCUUAUUCAUUCCAAAAAUUUAGCAAAUAAUAUUUGUACUCAUAAUGUAUCAUUUAUGGUGAUUUGAUGAUGUUGUUUUUUUACUUUUUGCUUUUGAACAGUAAAUUUGUGCACAUUCGGCGCUUAUCCAGCAUUGAUAUGGGCGGACCAAUACAUUGGAACAUACUCUGCCCACGUCAUGCAAAACAGUCAGAUUCAAUAUCUUGCGGUGUCUACGUUUUAAAGUAAGCAGAAUGCUACCUGCAGAAUCAAUCCCUAGAGUUUGUGCUCAGCAAAACACAACUACUAGAAGAACGGAGACAAAUAGCCAGAAGACUGCUUUCUGAAGGGGAAUUCAUUGAAGGUCAUCUAGAAGAGAUAGCAAGUAGCCCAUCAGUCGAACAUGAGAACUCGGACCAGCUCGCAAACACCCCUGCCUCUGCCAUGGAGUUGGAAGGGCGAGACACUGACCCAGUAGUCGAUCAUGUGGCAACAACUAGGAACUCGGACCAGCUGGCAAACAACCCUGCCUCUGCCAUGGAGUUGGAAGGGGGGAGACACUGACCCAGUGGUCGAUCAUGUAGCAACAGCCAGGGUGAGUCAAAGCGGACACAGUUGAUGAGGAAAUAUGCAUCCAGCAUUGGAAGCACAAUUUUUCUUUAAAAAA